CCCUUAGAUGUUCUGGGCCGCACGCGCGCUACACUGAUGCAUUCAACGAGUUUCUUCCUGGUCCGAGAGGAAUGGGUAACCUUUUGAAAGUGCAUCGUGAUAGGGAUAGACUAUUGCAAUUAUUGGUCUUCAACGAGGAAUUCCUAGUAGACGUAGUUCAUCAGACUGCAUCGAUUACGUCCCUGCCCUUUGUACACACCGCCCGUCGCUCCUACCGAUUAAAUGCUCAGGUGAGCCAUUCGGACUUUCAUCAUGCUGGUUUCCAGUUUUGAUGAAGGAAAGUCUUGCGAACCUUAUCAUUUAGAGGAAGGAGAAGUCGUAACA
This 324-nucleotide ribosomal RNA is filed under the name uncultured eukaryote. Its description in RNAcentral is "partial 18S ribosomal RNA". It matches the Rfam family "Eukaryotic small subunit ribosomal RNA", at positions 1470 to 1796 of the family's 1831-position model. The record is from RNAcentral.